AGAGUUUGAUCAUGGCUCAGGAUAAACGCUGGCGGCGUGCCUAACACAUGCAAGUCGAACGCCCUGUGGCUUGCUUUUGGGAGCCAGAGGGAGUGGCGGACGGGUGAGUAACACAUGGGUGACCUACCCCGCAGUGAGGGAUACCGGCGCGAAAGCGCCGACAAGCCCGCAUAGGCUCUUUUUGGUAGAGCGGAGAGAGCAAAGUCGCAAGACGCUGGGGGAGGGGCCUGUGGCCGAUUAGCUAGUUGGUAAGGUAAGGGCUUACCAAGGCGACGAUCGGUAGCUGGUCUGAGAGGACGAACAGCCACACUGGGAUUGAGAACGGCCCAGACUCCUACGGGGGGCAGCAGUGAGGAAUUUUCCGCAAUGGGGGCAACCCUGACGGAGCAACGCCGCGUGCAGGAAGACGCGUUUCGGCGUGUAAACUGCUUUUCUGUGGGACGAGUGUGGACGGUACCACAGGAAGAAGCCCCGGCUAACUACGUGCCAGCAGCCGCGGUAAUACGUAGGGGGCGAGCGUUGUCCGGAGUUACUGGGCGUAAAGGGCAUGCAGGCGGUCGGACGCGUUUCGGGUGACAGCGGGUGG
This 586-nucleotide ribosomal RNA is filed under the name uncultured bacterium. RNAcentral describes it as "bacterial SSU rRNA". It matches the Rfam family "Bacterial small subunit ribosomal RNA", at positions 8 to 607 of the family's 1533-position model. The record is from RNAcentral.